CUCUCAUAAUAUUGUCUUGGCACCACCACAUGGAUGCUAUCUAACCGGCCUCUAGGCUUCCACUACAAGUUAGGAUGUGGUGUAAACAGAUACUUUGCUUUGUGCCAAAACUUGUUGCCUCUUAUCAGUAAACCUUCAGAUCUAUUGGAUGGAAGCAUCCUAUACUUUCUUCUAACUUUCCAAUUACCAAUUCUUAUUAUGCUAGCUCUUACUGUUUGCAAACAAAAAGUUGCAGUUUUUUUAAUAGAAUUUGUGUUCUUUACAGCACCGUUCAAGUAAUAACCAAAUGGUGUUUCCCGACUUGAUCAUCACAAGUAGGUGAAUUAUGACAGCAACGAACAUAAACUAUUAAAGGAUAAAGAUAAUCUAACUUAUGGUCUGUCUCUUCAACCAAGGAUCACAACUCGAAUGACUUUC
RNAcentral lists this long non-coding RNA (417 nucleotides) under Phoenix dactylifera (date palm). Its description in RNAcentral is "long non-coding RNA (PDAC_LNC002502)". The record is from RNAcentral. Lineage: Eukaryota; Viridiplantae; Streptophyta; Magnoliopsida; Arecales; Arecaceae.